CAACACAUGCAAGUCGAGCGGUAGCACAGAGAGCUUGCUCUCGGGUGACGAGCGGCGGACGGGUGAGUAAUGUCUGGGAAACUGCCUGAUGGAGGGGGAUAACUACUGGAAACGGUAGCUAAUACCGCAUAAUGUCGCAAGACCAAAGUGGGGGACCUUCGGGCCUCAUGCCAUCAGAUGUGCCCAGAUGGGAUUAGCUAGUAGGUGGGGUAACGGCUCACCUAGGCGACGAUCCCUAGCUGGUCUGAGAGGAUGACCAGCCACACUGGAACUGAGACACGGUCCAGACUCCUACGGGAGGCAGCAGUGGGGAAUAUUGCACAAUGGGCGCAAGCCUGAUGCAGCCAUGCCGCGUGUGUGAAGAAGGCCUUCGGGUUGUAAAGCACUUUCAGCGGGGAGGAAGGCGUUAAGGUUAAUAACCUUGGCGAUUGACGUUACCCGCAGAAGAAGCACCGGCUAACUCCGUGCCAGCAGCCGCGGUAAUACGGAGGGUGCAAGCGUUAAUCGGAAUUACUGGGCGUAAAGCGCACGCAGGCGGUCUGUCAAGUCGGAUGUGAAAUCCCCGGGCUCAACCUGGGAACUGCAUUCGAAACUGGCAGGCUAGAGUCUUGUAGAGGGGGGUAGAAUUCCAGGUGUAGCGGUGAAAUGCGUAGAGAUCUGGAGGAAUACCGGUGGCGAAGGCGGCCCCCUGGACAAAGACUGACGCUCAGGUGCGAAAGCGUGGGGAGCAAACAGGAUUAGAUACCCUGGUAGUCCACGCCGUAAACGAUGUCGAUUUGGAGGUUGUGCCCUUGAGGCGUGGCUUCCGGAGCUAACGCGUUAAAUCGACCGCCUGGGGAGUACGGCCGCAAGGUUAAAACUCAAAUGAAUUGACGGGGGCCCGCACAAGCGGUGGAGCAUGUGGUUUAAUUCGAUGCAACGCGAAGAACCUUACCUGGUCUUGACAUCCACAGAACUUUCCAGAGAUGGAUUGGUGCCUUCGGGAACUGUGAGACAGGUGCUGCAUGGCUGUCGUCAGCUCGUGUUGUGAAAUGUUGGGUUAAGUCCCGCAACGAGCGCAACCCUUAUCCUUUGUUGCCAGCGGUUAGGCCGGGAACUCAAAGGAGACUGCCAGUGAUAAACUGGAGGAAGGUGGGGAUGACGUCAAGUCAUCAUGGCCCUUACGACCAGGGCUACACACGUGCUACAAUGGCAUAUACAAAGAGAAGCGACCUCGCGAGAGCAAGCGGACCUCAUAAAGUAUGUCGUAGUCCGGAUUGGAGUCUGCAACUCGACUCCAUGAAGUCGGAAUCGCUAGUAAUCGUAGAUCAGAAUGCUACGGUGAAUACGUUCCCGGGCCUUGUACACACCGCCCGUCACACCAUGGGAGUGGGUUGCAAAAGAAGUAGGUAGCUUAACCUUCGGGAGGGCGU
This 1412-nucleotide ribosomal RNA is filed under the name Klebsiella pneumoniae. RNAcentral's name for it is "bacterial SSU rRNA". It matches the Rfam family "Bacterial small subunit ribosomal RNA". Lineage: Bacteria; Pseudomonadati; Pseudomonadota; Gammaproteobacteria; Enterobacterales; Enterobacteriaceae. The record is from RNAcentral.